Podarcis lilfordi (Lilford's wall lizard) is the source of this 80-nucleotide non-coding RNA. Lineage: Eukaryota; Metazoa; Chordata; Lepidosauria; Squamata; Lacertidae. The record is from the annotation of a GenBank genome assembly.
GAAGGGUGUAGCUCAGCUGGUAGAGCCCCUGCAUUGCAUCCAGAAGGUCCCAGGUUCAAUCCCUUCUCUACAACCCUUCA